This 372-nucleotide ribosomal RNA is filed under the name uncultured organism. Its description in RNAcentral is "partial 16S ribosomal RNA". It matches the Rfam family "Bacterial small subunit ribosomal RNA", at positions 527 to 896 of the family's 1533-position model. The record is from RNAcentral.
GUAGGUGGCAAGCGUUGUCCGGAAUUAUUGGGCGUAAAGCGCGCGCAGGCGGUUCUUUAAGUCUGAUGUGAAAGCCCACGGCUCAACCGUGGAGGGUCAUUGGAAACUGGAGGACUUGAGUACAGAAGAGGAAAGCGGAAUUCCACGUGUAGCGGUGAAAUGCGUAGAGAUGUGGAGGAACACCAGUGGCGAAGGCGGCUUUCUGGUCUGUAACUGACGCUGAGGCGCGAAAGCGUGGGGAGCAAACAGGGAUUAGAUACCCUGGUAGUCCACGCCGUAAACGAUGAGUGCUAAGUGUUAGGGGGUUUCCGCCCCCUUAGUGCUGCAGCUAACGCAUUAAGCACUCCGCCUGGGGAUACAGCCGCAAGGCUG